Molecule: non-coding RNA, 70 nt
Filed under: unclassified sequences
Source: RNAcentral
GUGAUUUCGGCAAGGGUGGACGAUGCGGCCCAUUACCUGUGAUUGAUCACGGGUUAAGCCUGAAUUUCAC